Molecule: long non-coding RNA, 242 nt
Filed under: Manihot esculenta (cassava)
Lineage: Eukaryota; Viridiplantae; Streptophyta; Magnoliopsida; Malpighiales; Euphorbiaceae
Description: long non-coding RNA (MESC_LNC009909)
Source: RNAcentral
CUUACUCUGGGUUCCUGGUUGGGCCGGCCAGGCUGGGCCGGGUGAAGGGAACAAGAUUGGGCUGAAGAGGGGCUCCCCUACGGAACUGGAGAAUGGGCCAUCCCGGUUGAGGCGCGUCAGGAGGGAGCCCGUCCUUACCAUUUGAAUAAACCAGACCUUAUCCAUACUAAGGGCUCUAAGAUGUCCGAGUAAUGGGCCGAUAUCGUGGGCCUCGUCUCUGAUUCGGACGAAGAAAUCUUGCG